RNAcentral lists this ribosomal RNA (1365 nucleotides) under Triticum aestivum (bread wheat). RNAcentral describes it as "partial small subunit ribosomal RNA". Lineage: Eukaryota; Viridiplantae; Streptophyta; Magnoliopsida; Poales; Poaceae. The record is from RNAcentral.
AUGCGGCCGGCCCAUGCGCCGGCGUCGGCGGCGCGCGGAGGCCGGGCGCUGUACGAGCUGUACAGGGCGGCGAGCCGCGCGGCGGCGCCGGCGGUGCUCCUGUGGCGGCGGCUGCGAGGGCUGGAGCACCGGUCACGUUGGCCAGAGCGGCUGGGCCGGCCGUCGGUCGCGCGGCCUCGGCCAGGCUCGCCGCUCGUGUGGUUCCACGCCGUCUCCCUCGGCGAGGGAAUGGCCGCGCUCCCGGUCGUCCGUCACUGCGCGCGCCUCCAUCCCGGCCUCCCUAUCCUCCUCACCACCACCACUCUCUCCGCCUUCGAAGUGAUAAAGGAUUUGCUACCGGAUGUUGUCAUAUAUCAGUUUGCACCUCUUGACUGUCCUGACGCAAUAGAAAGUUUCAUUGGAUACUGGAAGCCAAGUUUGAUACUUCUCAUGGAAAGUGAAUUGUGGCCAAACCUCAUCAUGUCUGCAGCAGAGAAAGGGAUUGCAGUGGCUCUUUUAAAUGCCCGCAUGUCACUGAAGUCGUUCAACCGUUGGUCUGUGCCUCUAGGGUUACCAUUAGUCUCUCUGAUGCUCUCUAAACUAUCACUUGUUAUCCCACUGAGUACCAUCCAGGCUGUUCGUUUUCAGUUGCUCCAUACACCACCGUACAAAAUCCAUUUCGCUGGCGAUUUAAAAUAUGCUGUCGGUGAUGUUGAGGUUCGGGAGAAAGAGUUGAAUACAAUCAAAGAUCUGCAGCGGCAGUUCAAUGAUAGGCCCAUCUGGAUGGCAGCUUCAAUUCACAGAGGUGAAGAGGAAGUCCUUCUCCGCGUUCAUGACGAGUUAAUCAAGGCGUAUGCUUCGCUACUUUUAAUUCUCGUGCCAAGACAUCCUCAGGACAUCAAGAAUGUUUCUUUGGCACUGAAAAAACAAAAGGUCAAUUUUGUGCUGAGGUCAACAAUGGAAUUGGUGUCUAUAAACACUAGGGUAUACGUGGUUGAUACUCUAGGGGAAUUAAGAAUGCUCUACAGGGUCACUCCAAUAGCAGUUGUGGGAGGCUCAUUUUUACCUAGCUUGUCUGGCCAUAAUUUUUCCGAGGCUGCUGCAGCUGGUUGUGCUGUUCUAACUGGUCCCCAUGUUGGACAUUUCUAUCAUAUGCUGGUUGAAAUGUGGCAAAUAAAUCCUCUAGCUGUCAAGCAGUUGACAGGAGAAGCUGAACUGCUGGAGGUGCUAAAAGAACUGCUUAGCGAUUCCAAAGCUCUAGAAGCACGUCAAGGAGCUGCAAAAGAUGCAUUUUCCAUCAUGUCGCAUGGAGUUGUGAACCGUGUAUGGAAUCUGGUCUCCAGGUUCGCCAUGGACGCCCAACAGAAACGUGGAAUAGUUGAUUAA